This 250-nucleotide ribosomal RNA is filed under the name uncultured bacterium. Its description in RNAcentral is "partial 16S ribosomal RNA". It matches the Rfam family "Bacterial small subunit ribosomal RNA", at positions 57 to 305 of the family's 1533-position model. The record is from RNAcentral.
GCAAGUUGAACGGUAACAGAGGUGCUUGCACCUGCUGACGAGUAGCGAAAGGGUGAGUAGCCCGUGAGUAACCUGCCUUAAAGUCGGGGAUAGCCCUUGGAAACGAGGAUUAAUACCGGAUGUGGUUAUUCUUCCGCAUGGUUGAAUAACUAAAAUUUUUUGCUUUAAGAUGGGCUCGCGUAUCAUCAGCUAGUUGGUAAGGUAACGGCUUACCAAGGCGACGACUAUUAGGUGGUCUGAGAGGACGAUC